This 123-nucleotide ribosomal RNA is filed under the name Escherichia coli. RNAcentral's name for it is "partial 23S ribosomal RNA". It matches the Rfam family "Bacterial large subunit ribosomal RNA", at positions 2804 to 2925 of the family's 2925-position model. The record is from RNAcentral. Lineage: Bacteria; Pseudomonadati; Pseudomonadota; Gammaproteobacteria; Enterobacterales; Enterobacteriaceae.
ACUAUAAGUCUCCUGAAGGAACGUUGAAGACGACGACGUUGAUAGGCCGGGUGUGUAAGCGCAGCGAUGCGUUGAGCUAACCGGUACUAAUGAACCGUGAGGCUUAACCUUACAACGCCGAAG